Molecule: long non-coding RNA, 761 nt
Organism: Acanthaster planci (crown-of-thorns starfish)
Lineage: Eukaryota; Metazoa; Echinodermata; Asteroidea; Valvatida; Acanthasteridae
Source: RefSeq, a predicted model, not a curated record
CGCUGCGCGCGAGCUGACGAAGUGUACCAUACUAGGUACUGGCAAAGAUUGUGUAGCGGCGCUAUACAAUCUUUGGGUACAGGUGCCGCGUUAAUCAAAACUGCUGCAGGAAACAGCACAUCAACUUUGUUAUUAUUUUAAAUCAUUUCUGGUAAUGAAACCAAGGAUUCCUCAAAAGCGCCCUGGGCACUGUAGCUCGCAAGCCUGAUGAAACCUGUAUAGGCGUAGAGCUGGCCUCAGGUAGUAGAGGAGACAAUGAGAAGCAGUUACACAGUAUAGCCUGGCCUAGUGGGAGGUACAGUCAUGGUACAAUGAAUGUAGGAACUGAAAACCUACAUUACAUGUUAUAAAGGAGGAAGGGCGUGUAAUCCACGUGUGGACCGGGCUUGGAUUCGAACUGGACCGCAGAAGUGGAACUGGAAGGCGAGGAAAGAACCACCACGCCAACCUGACUCCCGAUGUAUCCAUGAACGUGGAAAUGUGACUGAACUUGAAGUGUGUGAUGCAACAGUAGCACAAAAAACAUGAUAAAGACGAGAUUUAGUAUGAUGCAGCAUUGCAGUGUAGGCAUUGCCAAAAAUUGCUGUUGGCUUACAAGCAGUAACAACAGUGGCUGUGGUGGAGGGUAGUGCAGUACAUAUGCUCAAGUUGGUGAAAUUAUUGAAUUUCGAAUCCAGUGUUCUUCAGCAAUUUCUCAUGGCUCCUGGAAAUAUAUGUGGUAAGACCAUCAGUUAUACCAGGCACGAAAUGGGACAGAGGGG